RNAcentral lists this ribosomal RNA (492 nucleotides) under uncultured bacterium. RNAcentral describes it as "partial 16S ribosomal RNA". It matches the Rfam family "Bacterial small subunit ribosomal RNA", at positions 29 to 507 of the family's 1533-position model. The record is from RNAcentral.
AGUGAACGCUGGCGGUAGGCCUAACACAUGCAGGUCGAACGGCAGCACAGUAAGAGCUUGCUCUUACGGGUGGCGAGUGGCGGACGGGUGAGGAAUACAUCGGAAUCUACUUUUUCGUGGGGGAUAACGUAGGGAAACUUACGCUAAUACCGCAUACGACCUACGGGUGAAAGCAGGGGAUCUUCGGACCUUGCGCGAUUGAAUGAGCCGAUGUCGGAUUAGCUAGUUGGCGGGGUAAAGGCCCACCAAGGCGACGAUCCGUAGCUGGUCUGAGAGGAUGAUCAGCCACACUGGAACUGAGACACGGUCCAGACUCCUACGGGAGGCAGCAGUGGGGAAUAUUGGACAAUGGGCGCAAGCCUGAUCCAGCCAUACCGCGUGUGUGAAGAAGGCCUUCGGGUUGUAAAGCCCUUUUGUUGGGAAAGAAAAGCAGCAGGUUAAUACCCCGCUGUUCUGACGGUACCCAAAGAAUAAGCACCGGCUAACUUCGUG